UACAGAGGGUGCGAGCGUUAAUCGGAAUUACUGGGCGUAAAGCGUGCGCAGGCGGUUCGUUGUGUCGGCGGGGAAAGCCCCGGGCUCAACCUGGGAAUGGCCGUUGAAACUGGCGAACUGGAGUGUGGCAGAGGGGGGUGGAAUUCCGCGUGUAGCAGUGAAAUGCGUAGAGAUGCGGAGGAACACCGAUGGCGAAGGCAGCCCCCUGGGCUGACACUGACGCUCAGGCACGAAAGCGUGGGGAGCAAACAGG
This 253-nucleotide ribosomal RNA is filed under the name uncultured bacterium. RNAcentral's name for it is "partial 16S ribosomal RNA". It matches the Rfam family "Bacterial small subunit ribosomal RNA", at positions 524 to 776 of the family's 1533-position model. The record is from RNAcentral.